GACGAACCGUACGAACGUUAUUCGGAAUCACUGGGCUUAAAGGGUGCGUAGGUGGCGGGGCAAGUUUGGUGUGAAAUCCCGGGGCUCAACCUCGGAACUGCACUGAAUACUGCCUUGCUAGAGCACUGGAGAGGGAACUGGAAUUUACGGUGUAGCAGUGAAAUGCGUAGAUAUCGUAAGGAAGACCAGUGGCGAAGGCGAGUUCCUGGACAGUUGCUGACACUGAGGCAC
This 231-nucleotide ribosomal RNA is filed under the name uncultured bacterium. RNAcentral describes it as "partial 16S ribosomal RNA". It matches the Rfam family "Bacterial small subunit ribosomal RNA", at positions 524 to 754 of the family's 1533-position model. The record is from RNAcentral.